AUGAUAAAAUGUAAGGACUAAACCACCGGUCAGUCACCGAGACCAUCACGUCGGCGGGAAGCGUUAGCCGCGCGCGAUGAGAGAACACGAAGCAGCGCGAGACUGGAUCCGCAGCGACGAAACCGCGAAGCAGAUGCUAUCAAGAGUCCUCGGAGACCGCGCCUUCCUACUUCUCCCGCCUCUCCACCGCGUGCCUCUGCGCGCAGGGAACGUAGUCGAGAUCACCGGCUCGUCCCCGACCGCGAAAACUCAGAUCCUGAUCCAAGCCGCCAUCGCUUGCAUCCUCCCGAAGACGUGGAACGGCGUCCACUACGGAGGACUGGAGAAACUGGUCUUGUUCCUCGAUCUGGAUUGCAGAUUCGACGUGAUGCGUUUAUCCGAUAUGCUCAAGCAUCGUCUCCUCGAAGCUAACCGGAUAGGGAAUGGAGCAUGGUGGCAACUUGAAGAGUCAAGUGGUGUUAAGAAUUGCAGAGGUGCACAAGACAAGUCAAAGUCAAAGUCUAAGAUUGUUUAUGAUGAGGAGUUGUAUGUUUCGUGCAUGAAGAGGUUCUUGUAUCUUCGUUGCUAUGAUAGUCUCGAGCUUCUGUCCAGUCUCAAGACAUUGCAUUAUCGGAUUAGACUGCAGGAAGCGUGUGGAAGCCAAGUCGGAGUGCUUAUGAUUGACAGCAUUGGUGCUUUCCACUGGACUGAUCGUCUAUCAUCAUCAUUGGCAUUGGAUAAAAAUAACAGGAAGAGUCUCUCCCUUACGAAUGUGGUGGAGACGAUAGUGCAAGAGAUGAAGAAGCUAAUGCGGGUGCAUUCUCUAGUAGUAAUUGCCACUAAAGCUACAAUCUACGAAGAAAAGUACCCAACAAAUGAGAAUAAUCGGAAGCUCUCCUCUAACAAUGAUAAAGCUCAGCAGCCUCCAUUUCGUGAAUUCAUGCCUUCUUCUUGGCAGGCAUUUGUGACACAUAAGAUAUUCAUACGGAAGUCAGGUGAUCAUCAUCAGUCUUCGGGACAACAAAGUUUGUCUGCAUACUCACUUGAAUGGUUACAACCGCAACUUAGUAGCAUUGACCGUUUCAUAGUAGACGAUUCUGGUGUUGUCAUUGUCUCAUGACUUAAGAGAUUCCGUUUCAGAAAUCAUAUCUAUUGUAAGGUAUCUAUUAGCUUAGCAGUAUAGCAAAGUCUCCGGAUGUAAAGUGAAUGCAGAGUUUAUUUAUUUACAUCAGAAAGAGAGAAAAGUAAAAGACAGAAAGAGUUAAACCUUUAAAGAAACUUGAAAGUGAUUCUUAAUGGGGACAUCACUACUCAGGUCUUAAGCAUUAGGAGUCGUGUUACAUUUUUUCGACGCCAAAAUCAUAUUGUAGCAGCAUUUUGCUUGUGGACUGUCUUAUUAUACCAGUCAUCAGUGUUUGAGUGGUUACUUUUCAUUUUCCACAUAGUAUAUAUCUCGUUUUCACCAAUUCUAUCUGAUCUUGGGACUUAGCAGAUAAGACAGUCUUGUCUCAUGUAAUAUCUUCAUCUUAUGGAAGACUAGUAUGAUCAACUUGGAUUUAGGAA
Molecule: RNA transcript, 1542 nt
Organism: Raphanus sativus (radish)
Lineage: Eukaryota; Viridiplantae; Streptophyta; Magnoliopsida; Brassicales; Brassicaceae
Gene name: DNA repair protein XRCC2 homolog
Exons: 11
Source: RefSeq, a predicted model, not a curated record